GCCGGAAUGACCCCAGGGGGUCCUGGGCGCGGACUUCAAAUCCGUGGAGGCUCAACGGCCUAGAGGUUCAACUCCUCCUUACCGGC
RNAcentral lists this transfer RNA (86 nucleotides) under Chlorella variabilis. RNAcentral's name for it is "Selenocysteine transfer RNA". It matches the Rfam family "Selenocysteine transfer RNA". The record is from Rfam by way of RNAcentral. Lineage: Eukaryota; Viridiplantae; Chlorophyta; Trebouxiophyceae; Chlorellales; Chlorellaceae.